This 254-nucleotide ribosomal RNA is filed under the name uncultured bacterium. Its description in RNAcentral is "partial 16S ribosomal RNA". It matches the Rfam family "Bacterial small subunit ribosomal RNA", at positions 524 to 776 of the family's 1533-position model. The record is from RNAcentral.
UACAGAGGGUGCGAGCGUUGUCCGGAAUCACUGGGCGUAAAGGGCGCGUAGGUGGUGGCUUAAGCGUGCGGUGAAAGCUCGGAGCUCAACUCCGAGUCGGCCGUGCGAACUGGGCUCACUGGAGCAUAGUAGAGGCAGGUGGAAUUCCGGGUGUAGCGGUGGAAUGCGUAGAGAUCAGGAGGAACACCAAUAGCGAAGGCAGCUCGCUGGGACGUUACUGACACUGAGGCGCGAAAGCGUGGGGAGCGAACAGG